This 468-nucleotide ribosomal RNA is filed under the name uncultured bacterium. Its description in RNAcentral is "partial 16S ribosomal RNA". It matches the Rfam family "Bacterial small subunit ribosomal RNA", at positions 28 to 507 of the family's 1533-position model. The record is from RNAcentral.
GACGAACGCUGGCGGCAUGCUUAACACAUGCAAGUCGAACGGGAAGGCCCUGCUUUUGUGGGGUGCUCGAGUGGCGAACGGGUGAGUAACACGUGAGUAACCUGCCCUUGACUUUGGGAUAACUUCAGGAACCUGGGGCUAAUACCGGAUAGGAGCGCCUGCUGCAUGGUGGGGGUUGGAAAGUUUGGGCGUUUGGGGUUGGACUGUCGGCUUCUAAGGUUGUUGGUGGGGUAGUGGUUUAGCAAGGCUUCGACGGGUAGCAGGCCUGUGAGGGGGACCGGCCACAAUGGGAGUGAGGUGAGGCACAGAAUACUACGGGAGGCAGCAGUGGGGAAUAUUGCACAAUGGGCGGAAGCCUGAUGCAGCAACGCCGCGUGCGGGAUGACGGCCUUCGGGUUGUAAACCGCUUUCGCCUGUGACGAAGCGUGAGUGACGGUAAUGGGUAAAGAAGCACCGGCUAACUACGUG